This 281-nucleotide long non-coding RNA is filed under the name Elaeis guineensis (African oil palm). Its description in RNAcentral is "long non-coding RNA (EGUI_LNC046172)". The record is from RNAcentral. Lineage: Eukaryota; Viridiplantae; Streptophyta; Magnoliopsida; Arecales; Arecaceae.
GCCGCGCACUGUCGAUUGUGCCAUUGAUGCCACUGUAGCUAGUGUCACAUAUGCCAUCACCUGCAUAGGCACCAUAAGUAUAAUAGACACUGAGCAACACUAUGUCAAUUGAAGGUUGAUGUUUUGCAACCUACAUGAUAAGCGCACAGUCUAGUCAAGCAGGAACUCUCGCAUGCUAGAAUAUCAUCUUAUUGAUCACCUCUACUUCCAUUUGUAGAGAGCAUACUGGAAUGUAAGUAGAAUUAUCGAGGAAUUAUGAAUAUUUUAUAGUAUGGGUACAA